This 199-nucleotide ribosomal RNA is filed under the name uncultured bacterium. Its description in RNAcentral is "partial 16S ribosomal RNA". It matches the Rfam family "Bacterial small subunit ribosomal RNA", at positions 1302 to 1500 of the family's 1533-position model. The record is from RNAcentral.
AGUCUGCAACCCGACUACGCGAAGCUGGAAUCGCUAGUAAUCGCGAAUCAGAAUGUCGCGGUGAAUACGUUCCCGGGCCUUGUACACACUGCCCGUCACACCAUGAGAGUCGAUAACACCCGAAGCCUGUAGUCUAACAGCAAUGAGGACGCAGUCGAAGGUGGGAUUGAUAAUUAGGGUGAAGUCGUAACAAGGUAUC